Long non-coding RNA from Coffea arabica (coffee), 957 nucleotides. RefSeq lists it as uncharacterized. The record is from RefSeq and is a predicted model, not a curated record. Lineage: Eukaryota; Viridiplantae; Streptophyta; Magnoliopsida; Gentianales; Rubiaceae.
CAAGCACUUAGCUCAACAGCAUGGCACCUCAGAUUCACAAUCCUAGCCAACUCUUUAAUAAUUUUCAUUAUUUUUGCAGAUCUGCUAGAUUGCCGAGGACUCUUGCCUUAAUUUUCAGAAUUCAGAGACUCCACAUCUCCAUUCAUCGAGAAGCAGAUCACCUAGCAUCUUAGGGUAACAUGUACGCUCACUUUACCAGCAAUUCAACUGUUGCUUGUGCUCAACCACCUCCUCGUUCGGCAGCUUCAAGUUGGGAUAGAUACAAGAUCUUGUGUAUCUCGUCUCUUUGGAAUGAAUCAAAGCUUAGAAGAUUAAGAACAAAAGGUGUUGAAAGAAGGUACAAGGUAAGGUCGGCCAUCCAUCAUUGCCAAACAAGUGAGACUCUCAGUAACUGAUGAAGGAAUAUCAAGUAAAUCAACUGGCUCAAGUUUCACAGGUUUGCACACACAAGGACCUUGAGAGGAACUACCAAUCUCCUUUAUGCUCAAUGGCUUCAAACCUGCAUUUGGGUACUAACAUAUCAAGUAGAAAGCUGCCAAUGCCAAGGUUAAUUGGCGCUGAGAAGCAUUUACAUGCACAAAGAACAAUCCAGGUAUUAGUCAAAAUCAAUUAAAUGCAAAAGGAAAAAUCAUACCUCUUAACCUCUUAGCAGAAGAAUCCCCUUCCUCUCUUGUAUCCGGAUGCUCUUUUCUCACCAUUUUCUUUGUUUCACCUGUGAGUAAAACCAAGCAAUAUAAGAAGCAAAGAAACUUGUUCUACAAACACAUCAGAGGCAUUAUUUGACAGGCCGCAAAGCAGCAUGUGCACAGAUGUCACUUAUAUAUAUUGUAGUUUAUGGUUGUAUAUAUUAAUUCUGUAUACAUUGUGACCCAUCAGCCUUUGGCAAGAAGUUCACAAAACAAUGUGUUACUAAUGCAAUCGGAGCAACCAAUAUUGUUCCAUUCAGUUAAAAAAAAA